Molecule: ribosomal RNA, 349 nt
Filed under: uncultured bacterium
Lineage: Bacteria
Description: partial 16S ribosomal RNA
Rfam family: Bacterial small subunit ribosomal RNA
Source: RNAcentral
CCUACGGGGGGCUGCAGUAGGGAAUCUUCCACAAUGGGCGAAAGCCUGAUGGAGCAACGCCGCGUGGGUGAAGAAGGUCUUCGGAUCGUAAAACCCUGUUGUUAGAGAAGAAAGUGCGGGAGAGUAACUGUUCACGUGUCGACGGUAUCUAACCAGAAAGCCACGGCUAACUACGUGCCAGCAGCCGCGGUAAGACGUAGGUGGCAAGCGUUAUCCGGAUUUAUUGGGCGUAAAGGGAACGCAGGCGGUCUUUUAAGUCUGAUGUGAAAGCCUUCGGCUUAACCGGAGUAGUGCAUUUGAAACUGUGAGCCUUGCGUGCAGAAGAGGAGAGUGUCACUCCCUGUGUAGC